UCAACACAUGUUAAUUACACACACGCUAUAAACAUGAUAGACAUGCGAGCUGAAAAUGAUGCAUGAGAAAGAUGGCUAUAAUAAGUGGUAUAAUGCAGUUCUGAACCUUCAGCAGCAUUUCACCACUAGGAGAGAAGGCUGACACAAAACUAACAACUGAUUUGUGGGCGGAGUCAGUUUAUCAAAUUAAUAUAAAGGGGCUAACGUAAACAGCUUGAUGCUGUUGAUACGUUGAAAUAAUAAUGCGUGCUAAUAUCUAUUUUACCUGAACGGUCUUCUUAAAUUUCUGUUUUGCGCUCACUACCCACAACAUGCAGUUUGCGAGGAUCUGACGUCAUCAAAAUUGUAACGUCUCUUACCACGUACUCUACAGAGUUGUCGCUGACGGUUUCAAUAAGGAGAAUGCUCAUAAAUUUUCAUGUCUCUAGAUUGGUUUUCUUUGGAGAAUUGAGUUUUUUUUCCACUGAGCAUGCUUUUUUCGAAUGGCACAAAUCUUUAUUUUCUUUCAGUAGUGUCUUGUGCACAGCAAACCUUAUUAUGAGAAAUUGAAGUAAAGAGAAAGAUUUGUUAGAAAAGGCCGCUGUGGUUUGAGAUCUUUCUGCAAGGUGGUAGUUGCCAUCUUGGUGCACUCAAGCUGUUACAGCUCUCCAACAUGGCAGAUGUAUACAAAAUUCUUUCCUCUGAUGUACAAAACAUUUGUUCGCCGAAAAAUUCGUCCUCAAAAGCUAAACAUUCGCCACAUUUUUUUAUUAGAUCUAUGAUGAAAUCCCUACUUAUUCUCUUAAGAUAAAUUUAAAGCAUCGAUGGCAUCACUGUAACCCACAUAUUUUGAUUUUUGGGCUCAUUAUACACUCCAGUGCCAUUUGCAUCCCAGACAUGGUCACGUGACUAAACCAAUAUUUACUCCAGAAUAGUUCAAGGUUUUACGAACAUGAUGAACAUUGUCUUCCUGUGAAAGUGGUCCCAGUCGAGACAAAGGUUGAACUUGAAAAGAUUUGUGUUUGGAUCAGCUCUGCGCUUUUGACAUGUAAUUGAGGUACUAGAAGAAGACUUUUAUCGAAUCGUGAUCGGAUUUGUUCCUCGUCAUGCAUAAAAGAGAAGUUAAACUCAGAUGAAUACACGACUAGGUGAAAGCAGACGUUAACACUACGUAUCAUAUUAUACCAGAUAAGGAAGCUAAUAUGAAAUGCAGUUAUAAAGCCAAAGAAGUUUGCUUUUGCGAACAAAGUGUUUGAUUCAACUACCUCGAAAGGUAAGACAAUUAUUUCCGGGUCCAAUAAAAUCCUUGAUACCUUUGAGGGGGCACAUUCGAAAAUCAAAACCCGGAAGACGUAUUUAGGUUCAUUGGCGGAAACCAAAAAUCAAUGGUCUAGUUUUGCUACAAAUUGCCUUAGAAGCAUGGCGCUUAGGCCCCGUCCAUACUAAUGCGUCCUCUUUGCUUACCUUCCACCCUACAACGAUCGCAAACACAUGGCUUAGCUUUGAAAACGCUGUCCAGAGAGGGAGUAGAGUGAGAAUAUUUCAAAACGGAGCCCUGUCGUAUUAGCGUGGACAGCGAAAACGGAGUCUUUCGAUAACGCUAACGUCAUUCAAAUGAUAUGCGCAUGGGCAAAAAAUGGUGGUGGUGUUGUAGGUUUUUAAUGUGGACGUUCGUAAACGGUAAUCGGUACAGUAAAGAAGACGAGAAUCUUUUGAUGAAAUAAUCGAAAACUCAAUAGUGUGGACGGGGCCUGAAGCUAUAGCAGGGGUGUCACCAUGCGUCUGAUUCAUGCAUGGUAAUUGUGCUGUCAAACUGAAAACGUCUGGCAGACUUUCUGAAAUUCUGUCGUUAUAUUUUGUAAAAAGAUCUGUUAAAACAAUUUGCUGCGUCUUUAACAACUCCCUUAAUAUCUUUGUCUUGAUAAAGAGCAGCUUUUCGUAUAUUACUGAGCUAAGACAUUUAAGAGCCGCCCUCUGUAACUAUCAACUAUGGUCAUUUGGACGAGAAAAAAUCAAAUUCCUCAAACUUUCCCAGAUGAGUGGUCUAGAUAAGUGAUUCACAUAAAUAUAACUUUCAGUUCAAUUCGAUCGGUAUUUUAGCGCUAAGGCGACCAUCUUGGUUUUGCCCCUCUGAGAGGGCUUUCAGCGGCCAUUUUA
Orbicella faveolata is the source of this 2136-nucleotide long non-coding RNA. Lineage: Eukaryota; Metazoa; Cnidaria; Anthozoa; Scleractinia; Merulinidae. The record is from RefSeq and is a predicted model, not a curated record.